Molecule: ribosomal RNA, 254 nt
Filed under: uncultured bacterium
Lineage: Bacteria
Description: partial 16S ribosomal RNA
Rfam family: Bacterial small subunit ribosomal RNA
Source: RNAcentral
UACGGAGGAGGCAAGCGUUAUCCGGAAUUACUGGGCGUAAAGAGUUGCGUAGGUGGCAUAGUAAGUCGGUAGUGAAAGCGUGGGGCUCAACCUCAUACACAUUAUCGAAACUGCUGAGCUAGAGGAUGAGAGAGGUUAUUGGAAUUCCCAGUGUAGGAGUGAAAUCCGUAGAUAUUGGGAGGAACACCGAUGGCGUAGGCAGAUAACUGGCUCAUUCCUGACACUAAGGCACGAAAGCGUGGGGAGCAAACGGG